This 253-nucleotide ribosomal RNA is filed under the name uncultured bacterium. RNAcentral describes it as "partial 16S ribosomal RNA". It matches the Rfam family "Bacterial small subunit ribosomal RNA", at positions 524 to 776 of the family's 1533-position model. The record is from RNAcentral.
UACGUAGGGUGCGAGCGUUAUUCGGAAUUACUGGGCGUAAAGUGUGCGCAGGCGGCCGCGCAAGUCGAGUGUGAAAGCCCCGGGCUUAACUUGGGAAUUGCGCUCGAAACUACGUGGCUGGAGUGUGGCAGAGGAAGGUGGAAUUCCACGUGUAGCGGUGAAAUGCGUAGAGAUGUGGAGGAACACCAAUGGCGAAGGCGGCAUCCUGGACCGGUAUUGACGCUGAGGAGCGAAAGCCAGGGGAGCAAACGGG